UAGGGAAUCUUCCACAAUGGGCGCAAGCCUGAUGGAGCAACGCCGCGUGAGUGAAGAAGGUCUUCGGAUCGUAAAACUCUGUUGUUAGAGGAGAACAUGCGAGAGAGUAACUGUUCUUGUAUUGACGGUAUCUAACCAGAAAGCCACGGCUAACUACGUGCCAG
This 164-nucleotide ribosomal RNA is filed under the name uncultured bacterium. RNAcentral describes it as "partial 16S rRNA". It matches the Rfam family "Bacterial small subunit ribosomal RNA", at positions 355 to 511 of the family's 1533-position model. The record is from RNAcentral.